RNAcentral lists this ribosomal RNA (253 nucleotides) under uncultured bacterium. RNAcentral's name for it is "partial 16S ribosomal RNA". It matches the Rfam family "Bacterial small subunit ribosomal RNA", at positions 524 to 776 of the family's 1533-position model. The record is from RNAcentral.
UACGUAGGGGGCAAGCGUUGUCCGGAAUCAUUGGGCGUAAAGAGCGUGUAGGCGGUUCGGUAAGUCGGCUGUGAAAGUCCAGGGCUCAACCCUGGGAUGCCGGUCGAUACUGCCGGACUAGAGUUCGGAAGAGGCGAGUGGAAUUCCCGGUGUAGCGGUGAAAUGCGCAGAUAUCAGGAGGAACACCGGUGGCGAAGGCGGAUCUCUGGGCCUUGCCUGACGCUGAGGCGCGAAAGCUAGGGGAGCGAACAGG